Molecule: long non-coding RNA, 1288 nt
Organism: Chrysemys picta bellii (western painted turtle)
Lineage: Eukaryota; Metazoa; Chordata; Testudines; Emydidae
Source: Ensembl
AAUUAAUUGUAAAGUGGUUAAGGUGCAUGCCUACUAGCGUGUUCCUGAGAGCUGAUGGAGUGGAUCAAAGAUAUAAAAGGAUCACAGAAAGGUGUUCGGUUUAGCAGAGAAACUACUAUCAAUGUUAAGACCCUCUCGGAUUAGAGACUAAGGAAAGGUGUUGGUAGGACUCCAAGUAGGAAGACAAUAGGGUGGAUGAAAUGGAUCGUGGAGCCUUACAGGAACAGUAAAACCCCUGUGGAAUAUCAAAUCUGACUAUACCAAUUGCUAACAUGUGAUUGAUGGAUAGGCGAUCUGUUCUUGCAAACCGGGAUACGAGGUGGCAGCUGUUGAGAAUGGUGGGGACACUUGUGUGGACACAGAAACUAUACGAGAUGGCAGUUACUGCAUCCUCAGGCCCUGCCCAGAGGGAUAUGAAUGCCGAGAUAUGGAACACUAUCAGUUUGAUUGCAUCAGAGGAGCCCUUAUUGUGCCAAACUGAAUGCAGUUUUCCAUUGUUCCAAACUGGAUUCUGCAUAUUCACAGUACGUUCUUGUAAAAUUACUAUUAAAAAUUGGAGCUGACUGUAAAACCUUGAUUGGAAAAAAGAUGAAAUUCUCACAAGUUUUCCCCCAACCCCAUUUUCUUAUUAGUUCUAUUAAACGUGUACUCUGUGCAAACAUAACUGGCAUGUUACAAACAUGAGUGUCAUCCUUCCCUUGUGAGUAAAGUUACACGCAUGCUUAAGUAUUUGUGGAAUCAGGACCACAGAGUAUAAUCCUAUACAUCAUGUCAAUCUGAUUCACAUGACUUACACAACUUAGACUGAUAAGAACAGGCCUCGUGGAGCAAAAUCCUGCAGCUUUCCCAUUUACUUCAGUAGGAAUUUUGCCUGAGUAAGAUGCCAGAAUUUUGUCUCUCCGAACAAGUCUGCAUUCUUUACUCAGAGAGCUUACGGAAAGAGAGGAUAGAUUCCCUGUCACACUGUAAAUCAGGAAUAAUUCAAUUGAACUCAAUACCAGUGAGAGUGAGAUCAGAAAACUGACACCUGACAAUGACAAAUUUACCAUGUAGAGUUAUGUUUGGGGGGGCCUGAUUAUGUAGUCCUUACUCAAGUAUGGCUACUGCUUGAAUGGCAGUCUUGCCUGAGUGAAAAUGGUAGAAUCAGUCCUAUGAUAUUUGUAUAUAUUGUACUGUCUUUUCAUCAUAGCAUAACUAUUAUAAAAAAAUUCAAUAAGCUUAUAAGAAGCAAAUAUUAUCUGUGACACACAAAAAUAAACAACAAAUUUGUUUUUACUAAUUUUGGGCC